Molecule: ribosomal RNA, 464 nt
Filed under: uncultured bacterium
Lineage: Bacteria
Description: partial 16S ribosomal RNA
Rfam family: Bacterial small subunit ribosomal RNA
Source: RNAcentral
GAUGAACGCUGGCGGCGUGCUUAACACAUGCAAGUCGAACGGAAAGGCUCCUGCUUGCAGGGGUACUCGAGUGGCGAACGGGUGAGUAACACGUGGGUGAUCUGCCCUGCACUUCGGGAUAAGCCUGGGAAACUGGGUCUAAUACCGGAUAGGACGAUGGUUUGGAUGCCAUUGUGGAAAGUUUUUCGGUGUGGGAUGAGCUCGCGGCCUAUCAGCUUGUUGGUGGGGUAAUGGCCUACCAAGGCGUCGACGGGUAGCCGGCCUGAGAGGGUGUACGGCCACAUUGGAACUAGGUUACGGCCCGAAUCCUAACGGGGGGCGGCGUUGGGAAUUAUGCCACAUUGGGCGAAGCCCUAUGGCGGGAAGCCGGCGGGGGGAUGACGGCCUUCGGGUUGUAAACUCCUUUCGCUAGGGACGAAGCGCAAGUGACGGUACCUGGAGAAGAAGCACCGGCUAACUACGUG